AUUUGUUGCCUCGGCGGUGCCUGUUCCGACAGCCCGCCAGAGGACCCCAAACCCUGAUUACAUUUAAGAAGUCUUCUGAGUAAACCGAUUAAAUAAAUCAAAACUUUCAACAACGGAUCUCUUGGUUCUGGCAUCGAUGAAGAACGCAGCGAAAUGCGAUAAGUAAUGUGAAUUGCAGAAUUCAGUGAAUCAUCGAAUCUUUGAACGCACAUUGCGCCCGCUAGUAUUCUGGCGGGCAUGCCUGUCCGAGCGUCAUUUCAACCCUCAAGCCCCCGGGCUUGGUGUUGGGGAUCGGCGAGCCUCCGCGCCCGCCGUCCCCUAAAUCUAGUGGCGGUCUCGCUGUAGCUUCCUCUGCGUAGUAGCACACCUCGCACUGGGAAACAGCGCGGCCACGCCGUUAAACCCCCAACUUCUGAACGUUUGACCUCGGAUCAGGUAGGAAUACCCGCUGAACUUAAGCAUAUCAAU
RNAcentral lists this ribosomal RNA (468 nucleotides) under Ilyonectria sp. ESO123. RNAcentral's name for it is "eukaryotic LSU rRNA". The stretch from base 102 to 255 matches the Rfam family "5.8S ribosomal RNA". The record is from RNAcentral. Lineage: Eukaryota; Fungi; Ascomycota; Sordariomycetes; Hypocreales; Nectriaceae.